ACGGAAGGCAGCAGUGGGGAAUAUUGCCCAAUGGGCGGAAGCCUGAUGCAGCGAUGCCGCGUGAGGGAAGAAGGUUUUCGGAUUGUAAACCUCCGUCCUCAGGGACGAUAAUGACGGUACCUGGGGAGGAAGCUCCGGCUAACUACGUGCCAGCAGCCGCGGUAAUACGUAGGGAGCGAGCGUUGUCCGGAAUUACUGGGUGUAAAGGGUGCGUAGGCGGGACGGCAAGUCAGAUGUGAAAUGUAUGGGCUUAACCCAUAACCUGCAUUUGAAACUGUUGUUCUUGAGUGAGGUAGAGGUGAGCGGAAUUCCUAGUGUAGCGGUGAAAUGCGUAGAUAUUAGGAGGAACAUCGGUGGCGAAGGCGGCUUACUGGGCCUUUACUGACGCUGAGGCACGAAAGCGUGGGGAGCAAACAGGAUUAGAUACCCUGGUA
RNAcentral lists this ribosomal RNA (434 nucleotides) under uncultured Ruminococcus sp. RNAcentral's name for it is "partial 16S ribosomal RNA". It matches the Rfam family "Bacterial small subunit ribosomal RNA", at positions 341 to 792 of the family's 1533-position model. The record is from RNAcentral. Lineage: Bacteria; Bacillati; Bacillota; Clostridia; Eubacteriales; Oscillospiraceae.